UGCAGUAUUUACAGAUGCACACACUAUCAUAUAGGGACGGUUUGAUCGGCUCCAAACGUAUGAGCUAUAUCAAUAUAUGUUCUCUGCACUUAGGAACAAUGUAUAGAAAUAUACAUCAAACUUCUUAAAUUGCUGAUUUGUAGAAUCCUCUAUCAGGAUGCUGCUUGUUAAUUGUGAAGGACAAGACAAGGCUGGCGAGCUGUCCUAAAUCCUGGAUAGUUGUGGUCUUAACUUGGAACUUCAAUUAAAUUAACAGUCUGGUGCAAAGUGGCAAUGCAGUUGAGAACCCAAUUCUCUUUUUGAAAUGUUUAGAUUCUAGAUUUGUGUUGAUAUCAAGAUUCAAGCGCUUUGGUGAAUAGUUCUAGCUUCGAAUCAAGGAAUGUCUUUACAUCCUUUUUUGACAGUUGCAGGAGCCUUCUAUAUAGCUAUUACAGGUGUUAUUACCAUACCAACAAUUGCGGCAGAAACACUCACGGCUUUGCAGUGGAGCACAUGCUGAAUACCAACAUCUUCUUGGCCUUUGAAGCGACUCCAUGUUGGAUAACCGAUAUGAACUUGUGUUGCUACGAGUCAAUGCCUGGAAAUGUUUUCAACGAACUUGACCAACAAAAAGAUGAAGGGGUAUAAGAAUAUGGUCAAUGGAGUUGAACUGUUGAAGUAUGGUGCCGCAAGGUUAAAUUUUGCAGAGUAGCAUGCGCCUCCUGUAGCUUGUACCAUAGGUAUACCAUGUAAUUGGUGUUUCUGUUGCUUUUCUUGUUUGCCCCUACAUUGUCUUUUGUUGACCCGUUGGUUUUACUUACAACGGAAGGCCCUGAGGUUCCUUUGCUCUCAACAAGAAGGUUGAGGGAAGAAGGGGAAUGCUAAGAAAUAGUCGGAUAUAAUGAAGUAGAAGAAGGAAAAUUCUGCAGGCAUCAAUUGGCAUGGAAGGCUCCUGAAAACUACUUGCCUGCUCUACCCUCAUGCAACUCGUAAUAUUCUUUGUUGGUGUAGGUAAUUUCUUCCAUUAUAAUGUUGCUUAUGGAGUUAUAGACUUAUGGUUAACAAUUUGCAUCUUUAUGGAAAUGGGAAAUUGCAUCUCAAUUGUAAUGAUUGCUAAAACUUAGGCGUUCAAAUGGAGCACAGAGGAAAGAUUUGGAAUUGGACGUUUUUAAUUGAAGUUUUUUGAGGAAACUAUGCUGGAUGGAGAAGGCGAAAAGGAUUCUAAACUGGUCCACUAGACACAAGAUUACGACACAAUCGACAAGUAUUUUAGUUAUUAUCUAAGAUCU
Rhododendron vialii is the source of this 1268-nucleotide long non-coding RNA. RefSeq lists it as uncharacterized. The record is from RefSeq and is a predicted model, not a curated record. The transcript has 3 exons. Lineage: Eukaryota; Viridiplantae; Streptophyta; Magnoliopsida; Ericales; Ericaceae.